GCAUCGGACAGCAAAAUGCCCGAUAUGCAGGCGGGCUGGGAACAGAUGUGUUCCAAUGUCAUGGCGGGUCUUAGCGGUCUUAACAUGGUGUAUGAGGCCG
Regulatory RNA element from Pseudooctadecabacter jejudonensis, 100 nucleotides. It matches the Rfam family "Pyrrolysine insertion sequence mttB". Lineage: Bacteria; Pseudomonadati; Pseudomonadota; Alphaproteobacteria; Rhodobacterales; Paracoccaceae. The record is from Rfam.